GAUGAAGAACGUAGUGAAAUGCGAUACGUAAUGUGAAUUGCAGAAUUCAGUGAAUCAUCGAAUCUUUGAACGCAUAUUGCGCUCUCUGGUAUUCCGGAGAGCAUGCUUGUUUGAGUAUCAGUAAACACUUCAACUUCCAUAUCUUUUUUGAAAUGGGAGUUGGACUUGAGUGAUCCCAACGCUUUUCCUCACCGAAAAGCGGCGGGUUACUUGAAAUGCAGGUGCAGCUGGACUUUUCUCUGAGCUAUAAGCAUAUCUAUUUAGUCUGCCUAAAAAACAGAUUAUUACCUUUGCUGCAGCUAACAUAAAGGAGAUUAGUUCUUGUGCUGACUGAUGCAGGAUUCACAAAGACAGGCUUCGGCCGACUUUGUAAACUCGAUCUCAAAUCAAGUAAGACUACCCGCUGAACUUAAGCAUAUCAAUAAGCGGAGGA
This 433-nucleotide unclassified non-coding RNA is filed under the name soil metagenome. RNAcentral describes it as "partial contains 5.8S ribosomal RNA, internal transcribed spacer 2, and large subunit ribosomal RNA". The stretch from base 1 to 120 matches the Rfam family "5.8S ribosomal RNA", at positions 35 to 154 of the family's 154-position model. The record is from RNAcentral.